This is a long non-coding RNA of Serinus canaria (Common canary), 743 nucleotides long. RefSeq lists it as uncharacterized. NCBI's taxonomy places the organism in Eukaryota, Metazoa, Chordata, Aves, Passeriformes, Fringillidae. The transcript has 2 exons. The record is from RefSeq and is a predicted model, not a curated record.
GGUUUGAAAGGAAAUGAAGUUUUUUGUGAUGGUGUGGGCAAUCCAAUCAGUGUUCAGAUUUAAUAUUGGCACCUGGUUUGUCCACUGAGGGCAGGAUACGCCUCUGAGAACACAGGGGUUAAAAGCUGUGAUCUCCCGGGGGAACUUCCUCUUGGAGUCCCGCUGGAGAGUGAGCAGACCCCCCCCCUGCCCAGAUCUGGCUGGGCAGGGGGGGAGGGGAGCCAUGUGGCCGGAGAGAGAGAGACUGCGUUCUAGGGGGAGGCGAUGGCUCAGAGCCAAGAGAGUGCAGUGAUGUGGAGGAGUGAACAGAGACGACGGGUGAGGAGGGUGUGGUGGUGCCCUCCACUUCGAAGAAGAGAAGAAGAAGAAGACGAUCUCUGUUCAAGAGACCCCUCGGCCCCAGGGGGUGAAAUUUGGGGGGGACAAGUGUCCCAGAAGGAGAAGGACUGUGCUCCCUUUGGAACUGGUCAAAGUAUCCUUAAAAUGAAAAACCCCAGAAGCAGCUCUGAUCCAUGUGCAGUGGUGAGAGCACUGGACAUGGAAGGCGUGUGGCGCAAGAGGGACUUCUCUCUCCUCAAGAGACUGAGAAUCGACUGUCUGAAGGGUGGCAAUGAAAUUGGAAAUUUGGUGGGGGGAGGAGGAAGAAUUUUGGAAGGUUUUCAUCUUAUGUUCUAUUGUGUUUUGUGUGUCUUCCUUUGUAGUUGUAGGUUAAUAAAUGCUUUUUUUUUUCCUUUUAACCUUAA